RNAcentral lists this transfer RNA (73 nucleotides) under Bos taurus (domestic cattle). It matches the Rfam family "tRNA". Rfam says of the family: Transfer RNA (tRNA) molecules are approximately 80 nucleotides in length. Their secondary structure includes four short double-helical elements and three loops (D, anti-codon, and T loops). RNAcentral also lists the same sequence under 2 other names. Lineage: Eukaryota; Metazoa; Chordata; Mammalia; Artiodactyla; Bovidae. The record is from Rfam by way of RNAcentral.
UCCCUGGCCGUUCAGUGGUAAGGACUCUGUACUUUAACUUCUGAGGGCCCAGGUUUGAUACCUGGUCAAGGAA